RNAcentral lists this ribosomal RNA (253 nucleotides) under uncultured Lachnospiraceae bacterium. RNAcentral's name for it is "partial 16S ribosomal RNA". It matches the Rfam family "Bacterial small subunit ribosomal RNA", at positions 524 to 776 of the family's 1533-position model. The record is from RNAcentral. Lineage: Bacteria; Bacillati; Bacillota; Clostridia; Lachnospirales; Lachnospiraceae.
UACGUAGGGGGCAAGCGUUAUCCGGAUUUACUGGGUGUAAAGGGAGCGUAGACGGUUAAGCAAGUCAGAAGUGAAAGGCUGGGGCUCAACCCCGGGACUGCUUUUGAAACUGUUUAACUAGAGUGCUGGAGAGGUAAGCGGAAUUCCUAGUGUAGCGGUGAAAUGCGUAGAUAUUAGGAGGAACACCAGUGGCGAAGGCGGCUUACUGGACAGUAACUGACGUUGAGGCUCGAAAGCGUGGGGAGCAAACAGG